Molecule: non-coding RNA, 24 nt
Filed under: Arabidopsis thaliana (thale cress)
Lineage: Eukaryota; Viridiplantae; Streptophyta; Magnoliopsida; Brassicales; Brassicaceae
Source: RNAcentral
GAUCGAGAUUUAGCCGUCCGGUAC